AAUAUUGCACAAUGGGCGCAAGCCUGAUGCAGCCAUGCCGCGUGUAUGAAGAAGGCCUUCGGGUUGUAAAGUACUUUCAGCAGUGAGGAAGGUGGUAGUGUUAAUAGCACUAUCAUUUGACGUUAGCUGCAGAAGAAGCACCGGCUAACUCCGUGCCAGCAGCCGCGGUAAUACGGAGGGUGCGAGCGUUAAUCGGAAUUACUGGGCGUAAAGCGCAUGCAGGUGGUUUGUUAAGUCAGAUGUGAAAGCCCGGGGCUCAACCUCUGAAUUGCAUUUGAAACUGGCAGACUAGAGUACUGUAGAGGGGGUAGAAUUUCAGGUGUAGCGGUGAAAAUGCGUAGAGAUCUGAAGGAAUACCGGUGGCGAAGGCGGCCCCCUGGACAGAUACUGACACUCAGAUGCGAAAGCGUGGGGAGCAAACAGGAUUAGAUACCCUGGUA
Molecule: ribosomal RNA, 440 nt
Filed under: uncultured bacterium
Lineage: Bacteria
Description: bacterial SSU rRNA
Rfam family: Bacterial small subunit ribosomal RNA
Source: RNAcentral